AGUGAACGCUGGCGGUAGGCCUAACACAUGCAGGUCGAACGGCAGCACAGUAAGAGCUUGCUCUUACGGGUGGCGAGUGGCGGACGGGUGCGGAAUACAUCGGAAUCUACUUUUUCGUGGGGGAUAACGUAGGGAAACUUACGCUAAUACCGCAUACGACCUACGGGUGAAAGCAGGGGAUCUUCGGACCUUGCGCGAUUGAAUGAGCCGAUGUCGGAUUAGCUAGUUGGCGGGUUAAAGGCCCACCAAGGCGACGAUCCGUAGCUGGUCUGAUAGGAUGAUCAGCCACACUGGAACUGAGACACGGUCCAGACUCCUACGGGAGGCAGCAGUGGGGAAUAUUGGACAAUGGGCGCAAGCCUGAUCCAGCCAUACCGCGUGGGUGAAGAAGGCCUUCGGGUUGUAAAGCCCUUUUGUUGGGAAAGAAAAGCAGCAGGUUAAUACCCCGCUGUUCUGACGGUACCCAAAGAAUAAGCACCGGCUAACUUCGUG
RNAcentral lists this ribosomal RNA (492 nucleotides) under uncultured bacterium. Its description in RNAcentral is "partial 16S ribosomal RNA". It matches the Rfam family "Bacterial small subunit ribosomal RNA", at positions 29 to 507 of the family's 1533-position model. The record is from RNAcentral.